RNAcentral lists this long non-coding RNA (234 nucleotides) under Capsicum annuum. RNAcentral's name for it is "long non-coding RNA (CANN_LNC005759)". Lineage: Eukaryota; Viridiplantae; Streptophyta; Magnoliopsida; Solanales; Solanaceae. The record is from RNAcentral.
AUGUGGGACAAAAAUUAAAGGGGGGAAUGAAGCAACAAACAAUUUUUGUUUAUAUAGUCCUUUGAUAUUUUUGAAGGACUAAUCAGCCUCAUCAUUAUGCAAAGCACGAAAAAGCACCACGUCAUUUUAUAUGAAGAGAUACAAGCACUAUAAUCGAAUAUUCAAAAUCCUAGCCCUUAAAACCCCAAAUUGCCAACCAUCAUUGACACCUAUAUGGAUACUAGUCUAAUAACA